UCAUAUGCUUGUCUCAAAGAUUAAGCCAUGCAUGUCUAAGUACGUGCCUAAGAAAGGUGAAACCGCGAAUGGCUCAUUAAAUCAGUUAUGGUUCCUUAGAUCGUACCUUACUACUUGGAUAACUGUGGUAAUUCUAGAGCUAAUACAUGCAGCAGAGCUCCGACCUUCGGGGACGAGCGCUUUUAUUAGACCAAGACCAAUCGGACUUCGGUCCGAAGCUCAUGGUGACUCUGGAUAACUUUGGGCUGAUCGCACGGUCUCGUACCGGCGACGCAUCUUUCAAGUGUCUGCCUUAUCAACUUUCGAUGGUAGGUUAUGCGCCUACCAUGGUCGUAACGGGUAACGGGGAAUCAGGGUUCGAUUCCGGAGAGGGAGCCUGAGAAACGGCUACCACAUCCAAGGAAGGCAGCAGGCGCGCAAAUUACCCACUCCCGGCACGGGGAGGUAGUGACGAAAAAUAACAAUACGGGACUCUAUUGAGGCCCCGUAAUUGGAAUGAGUACACUCUAAAUCCUUUAACGAGGAUCUAUUGGAGGGCAAGUCUGGUGCCAGCAGCCGCGGUAAUUCCAGCUCCAAUAGCGUAUAUUAAAGUUGUUGCGGUUAAAAAGCUCGUAGUUGGAUCUCAGUUCCAGACGGGUGGUCCACCUCUGGUGGUUACUGCCUGGCCUGAACAAAUCCAGCCGGUUUUCCUUGAUGCUCUUCACCGAGUGUCUUGGGUGACCGGCACGUUUACUUUGAAAAAAUUAGAGUGCUCAAAGCAGGCGUGACGCCUGAAUAAUGGUGCAUGGAAUAAUGGAAUAGGACCUCGGUUCUAUUUUGUUGGUUUUCGGAACACGAGGUAAUGAUUAAGAGGGACAGACGGGGGCAUUCGUAUUGCGACGCUAGAGGUGAAAUUCUUGGACCGUCGCAAGACGAACUACU
This 921-nucleotide ribosomal RNA is filed under the name Bamazomus sp. 111111.03. Its description in RNAcentral is "SSU rRNA". It matches the Rfam family "Eukaryotic small subunit ribosomal RNA", at positions 24 to 944 of the family's 1831-position model. RNAcentral also lists the same sequence under 2 other names. Lineage: Eukaryota; Metazoa; Arthropoda; Arachnida; Schizomida; Hubbardiidae. The record is from RNAcentral.